CCUACGGGUGGCAGCAGUGAGGAAUAUUGGUCAAUGGGCGCAAGCCUGAACCAGCCAAGUCGCGUGAGGGAUGAAGGUACUAUGGAUUGUAAACCUCUUUUGUCGGGGAGCAAAGCCCGCGACGUGUGGCCGGAAGGAGAGUACUGGAAGAAAAGGCACGGCCAACUCCCGUGCAGCCCGCGAGGGUAUUAGGAGGAUGCGGGGGUUAUCCGGGUUUAUUGGGGUUAAAGGGUGCGUAGGCGGAAGGGUAAGUCAGGGGUAAAAGGUCGGUGCUCAAACCCGGCCAGCCGUUGAAACUGGGCGGCUUGAGUUGGCGAGAAGUAUGCGGAAUGCGCGGUGUAGCGGUGAAAUGCAUAGAUAUCGCGCAGAACUCCGAUUGCGAAGGCAGCGUACCGGCGCUCAACUGACGCUGAGGCACGAAAGCGUGGGGAUCGAACAGGAUUAGAUACCCUUGUAGUC
RNAcentral lists this ribosomal RNA (459 nucleotides) under uncultured bacterium. RNAcentral's name for it is "partial 16S ribosomal RNA". It matches the Rfam family "Bacterial small subunit ribosomal RNA", at positions 338 to 795 of the family's 1533-position model. The record is from RNAcentral.